UACAGAGGGGGCGAGCGUUGUUCGGAAUUACUGGGCGUAAAGGGCGCGUAGGCGGCCCGCUAAGUCGAACGUGAAAUCCCCAGGCUCAACCUGGGAACUGCGUCCGAUACUGGCAGGCUUGAAUCCGGGAGAGGGAUGUGGAAUUCUCGGUGUAGCGGUGAAAUGCGUAGAUAUCGAGAGGAACACCUGCGGCGAAGGCGGGUUGCUGGGCUGACACUGACGCUGAGGCGCGAAAGCUAGGGGAGCGAACGGG
This 253-nucleotide ribosomal RNA is filed under the name uncultured bacterium. RNAcentral's name for it is "partial 16S ribosomal RNA". It matches the Rfam family "Bacterial small subunit ribosomal RNA", at positions 524 to 776 of the family's 1533-position model. The record is from RNAcentral.